This 226-nucleotide ribosomal RNA is filed under the name uncultured bacterium. RNAcentral's name for it is "partial 16S ribosomal RNA". It matches the Rfam family "Bacterial small subunit ribosomal RNA", at positions 15 to 231 of the family's 1533-position model. The record is from RNAcentral.
GAUCAUGGCUCAGGAUGAACGCUAGCUACAGGCUUAACACAUGCAAGUCGAGGGGCAGCGGGAUUGAAGCUUGCUUCAAUUGCCGGCGACCGGCGCACGGGUGAGUAACGCGUAUCCAACCUUCCGUACACUCAGGGAUAGCCUUUCGAAAGAAAGAUUAAUACCUGAUGGUAUGAUGAGAUUGCAUGAUAGCAUCAUUAAAAGAUUUAUCGGUGUACGAUGGGGA